GCUUACGGCCACACCACCCUGAGCGCCGCCCGAUCCUCCGUCUGAUCUCGGAAGCUAAGCAGGGUCGGGCCUGGUUAGUACUUGGAUGGGAGACCCGCCUGGGAAUACCAGGUGCCGUAAGCU
Molecule: ribosomal RNA, 123 nt
Filed under: Lates calcarifer (barramundi perch)
Lineage: Eukaryota; Metazoa; Chordata; Actinopteri; Centropomidae
Source: RNAcentral